GGUAAACAGAAAGUUGCUCAGGGUCAGAGGACUAGUGGGGGAGAUGCUCCUACUGGUGUGGUUUGUUUUAAGUGUGGAAAACCUGGGCAUAAGAGUAAUGUAUGCACUACUGAAGUGAAGAGGUGUUUUCGUUGUGGUAAGAACGGACAUGUUGUAUUUGAGUGUGAACAUAAGGAUGUGAUUUGUUUCAAUUGUAGAGAAGAAGGGAACAUUGGUAGUCAGUGUCAGAAACCAAAGAGGGCACAGACAAGUUGUAAAGUGUUCUCUUUGGUUGAGGAUCAGACAGCUGUUGAGGACAGACUUAUCAGAGGUACAUGUUUGAUUAAUAGUACUCCUUUAAUUACUAUUAUUGAUAUCGGUGCUACGCAUUGUUUUAUUGCUGCUGAUUAUGUUGAAAUAUUG
Non-coding RNA from Vicia faba (fava bean), 402 nucleotides. The record is from the annotation of a GenBank genome assembly. Lineage: Eukaryota; Viridiplantae; Streptophyta; Magnoliopsida; Fabales; Fabaceae.